Molecule: ribosomal RNA, 248 nt
Filed under: uncultured Bacteroides sp.
Lineage: Bacteria; Pseudomonadati; Bacteroidota; Bacteroidia; Bacteroidales; Bacteroidaceae
Description: partial 16S ribosomal RNA
Rfam family: Bacterial small subunit ribosomal RNA
Source: RNAcentral
UACGGAGGAUCCGAGCGUUAUCCGGAUUUAUUGGGUUUAAAGGGAGCGUAGGCGGAUUGUUAAGUCAGUUGUGAAAGUUUGCGGCUCAACCGUAAAAUUGCAGUUGAUACUGGCAGUCUUGAGUGCAGUAGAGGUGGGCGGAAUUCGUGGUGUAGCGGUGAAAUGCGUAGAUAUUUGGAAGAACACCGAUGGCGAAGGCAGCCCCCUGGGACGCAACUGACACUGAUGCUCGAAAGUGUGGGUAUCAA